UCUGUAUCCGUGGUGAGAUUUCGUCACACACCAGGCCACAAAGACUUAUGAGACUCCCAAGAUAAGUG
This is a non-coding RNA of Schistosoma curassoni, 68 nucleotides long. NCBI's taxonomy places the organism in Eukaryota, Metazoa, Platyhelminthes, Trematoda, Strigeidida, Schistosomatidae. The record is from Rfam.